Molecule: ribosomal RNA, 467 nt
Filed under: uncultured bacterium
Lineage: Bacteria
Description: bacterial SSU rRNA
Rfam family: Bacterial small subunit ribosomal RNA
Source: RNAcentral
CAGGCCUAACACAUGCAAGUCGAGCGGUAAGGCCUCUUCGGGGGUACACGAGCGGCGAACGGGUGAGUAACACGUGAGUAAUCUGCCCUUCACUUCGGGAUAAGCUUCGGAAACGGGGUCUAAUACCGGAUACGACACUUUCAGGCAUCUGAUGAGUGUGGAAAGUUUUUUCGGUGGGGGAUGUGCUCGCGGCCUAUCAGCUUGUUGGUGGGGUAAUGGCCUACCAAGGCUUCGACGGGUAGCCGGCCUGAGAGGGUGACCGGCCACACUGGGACUGAGACACGGCCCAGACUCCUACGGGAGGCAGCAGUGGGGAAUAUUGGACAAUGGGCGGAAGCCUGAUCCAGCAACGCCGCGUGAGGGAUGACGGCCUUCGGGUUGUAAACCUCUUUCAGUACCGACGAAGCGAGAGUGACGGUAGGUACAGAAGAAGCACCGGCCAACUACGUGCCAGCAGCCGCGGUAAU